This 90-nucleotide transfer RNA is filed under the name Pseudomonas aeruginosa. RNAcentral's name for it is "tRNA-Asn". Lineage: Bacteria; Pseudomonadati; Pseudomonadota; Gammaproteobacteria; Pseudomonadales; Pseudomonadaceae. The record is from RNAcentral.
CUGCUUGGAUAGCGAGGCACGCUGCCAGAUGUUCUCUAGUAGCUGCCGGCGCCGAGGCGUACCGAGCAGUUCCAUACUGCUCAGAGGAGG